This 342-nucleotide unclassified non-coding RNA is filed under the name Hevea brasiliensis (rubber tree). Lineage: Eukaryota; Viridiplantae; Streptophyta; Magnoliopsida; Malpighiales; Euphorbiaceae. The record is from RNAcentral.
AGAAAUCAAAGCAUCAAGAUCUUCACCUGGGAGCUGAUACUUGAAAGAAAUAUCAGUAUCUCCACAAAGGGCAGCAAGCUUACCGAUCAUGAUGGAGAACUUGAUAUUCCGAUCAACGGCGAGAAUUUUGGUCUCGCCGCCAAUAUAUGAGAGCUGAUUAUCAUGAGGACGAGGGUGGAUCUUGCCACCAUAGCUGCACAUAAACUUAGCUUUACAAUCCUGAGCCUGCUGCUGGGAUUGGUCCUCCCACGGCGUAGGGUUCUCGAACUCAAUUUCACGGGAUCGAGGAGAAGAGUGGCCGGAAUCUGGGUAUGAAUUAUAGGUAUAGUUCUCCAUGUUUAC